Non-coding RNA from Trichobilharzia regenti, 46 nucleotides. NCBI's taxonomy places the organism in Eukaryota, Metazoa, Platyhelminthes, Trematoda, Strigeidida, Schistosomatidae. The record is from Rfam.
GUACUGAUGAAGAGUUCCAAACUAGGAUGAAACAGCUGUCCAGUAC